AGAGUUUGAUCAUGGCUCAGGAUGAACGCUGGCGGCGUGCCUAACACAUGCAAGUCGAGCGAGAAAUUCGCAGAUUAUAUCUAUGAUCAGUGAAUGGAAAGCGGCGGACGGGUGAGUAACGCGUAGGUAACCUGCCCCAUACAGAGGGAUAGCCACUGGAAACGGUGAUUAAUACCUCAUAAAACUGAGUAUACACAUGUAUGUUCAGCCAAAGAUUUAUCGGUAUGGGAUGGACCUGCGUCUGAUUAGCUGGUUGGUGAGGUAACGGCUCACCAAGGCGACGAUCAGUAGCCGACCUGAGAGGGUGAUCGGCCACAUUGGAACUGAGACACGGUCCAAACUCCUACGGGAGGCAGCAGUGGGGAAUAUUGCACAAUGGGCGAAAGCCUGAUGCAGCAAUGCCGCGUGAACGAAGAAGGCUCUUGGGUCGUAAAGUUCUGUUCUGAGGGAAGAAGAAAGUGACGGUACCUCAGGAGAAAGCCCCGGCUAACUACGUGCCAGCAGCCGCGGUAAUACGUAGGGGGCGAGCGUUGUCCGGAAUUAUUGGGCGUAAAGAGUACGUAGGCGGUUUGUUAAGCGCAAGGUGAAAAGGCAUAGGCUCAACCAAUGUAAGCCUUUGCGAACUGACAGACUUGAGUGCAGGAGAGGAAAGCGGAAUUCCUAGUGUAGCGGUGAAAUGCGUAGAUAUUAGGAGGAACACCGGUGGCGAAAGCGGCUUUCUGGACUGAAACUGACGCUGAGGUACGAAAGCGUG
This 754-nucleotide ribosomal RNA is filed under the name uncultured bacterium. RNAcentral describes it as "bacterial SSU rRNA". It matches the Rfam family "Bacterial small subunit ribosomal RNA", at positions 8 to 763 of the family's 1533-position model. The record is from RNAcentral.